RNAcentral lists this long non-coding RNA (8175 nucleotides) under Linum usitatissimum (flax). Its description in RNAcentral is "long non-coding RNA (LUSI_LNC004314)". Lineage: Eukaryota; Viridiplantae; Streptophyta; Magnoliopsida; Malpighiales; Linaceae. The record is from RNAcentral.
UAAAAAAACAGGAAUCUCCAUUGUAAAAAAACAGGCAUCUCAACUCAACAAGUACAUUAUUCCAUAUACAUAAAAUGUUAGAUUCAGCCACAUAAAUGUUAUUCGGAGACGAGAUUCAACCCAAUCCGAACCUUUCGAGCUGCGGAGAUUGUAACUUAUGUUCACUUAUGUCAAUCUAAUCUCCAACUGCUUUGAUGAUGGACAUAGGGACACUUAGAAACUAAAAUCUAUCAUCGAUUCAAUUCCUCUUCUUUGAAUGGGAGAAAAGGUAACAAAUAGUGACGCAGACAGAUGACAACUGAGGGUUAUCCUUCACUAACUAAAACGCUAAGGUUCAAAUUCAAUGCCGACUAAUAAAUGUGGGAGAUUUAGACUACAUAGCGAAGGUUUGAGAUUAAACCACAAACCAUUGACUGCGCAGCUAGCCUGUGCCAUUCAUCACAUUCCUUUACCAGGAGCUGCAAGAAAGGAAUUGCCUGUACAGAGAGACUAGGAUGACUUGGACUGCAAGGUAACAAAAGAAUUGCCCCUUCUUAAGUAAGGCGAGGUGGGUUGUUUUUCUUAAUGCCAUAACUUGCUGCAGAACCCAUUCCUAGGCCUCUUGCUGGAUACGACAUCCGAGAACGAAUCAACCAACUGUUCGGCUAAGCUACCAUGGUCAUCAUUCAGAGUCCUAAUGAAAGUAUGCACCACUCUCCGCUCCUGUUCCGUUGAUCUCAAGCUAAACCACGUCAGCAAUUUCAGUCUGAAUUCCUGAUCGAUGUGACCUCCACAUUCCAGCAUUCGGAUCGUCUUCACACACGCGACGACCCGACAUUACAUUCAAAUCAAGCCCUUGUAAAGCAGUUGGCAAGUGAAUAUCAUCAUCUCGAGUCUCUGCUAUGGUUAAAGCAGCAUCACAACACUUGUCAGUGCCAGCACUACAGAAACCUUCUACGCCGGCUCGCUCUUGUGCCCACGCCAUACGUAUGAUUUUCCCAAGCUCCCGGACUCUGAAUCCGGAGAAUUCACUCCCUCUUUCGUUAGGAUGAUCAUCCGUCUUACCAUUUUCUACAACAGAAGAAGAACGAGGAUGCUUACGAAUAAUGUCAACACUUUUGGUGAAACACUUGGCCUCUGAAUGACCUAAAUCACCAGAAUCAGUGUAUGACAUAAUUCGAAAUGUAUACUCUGUGCAUGGCUGCAGAUUUGUUAUCAGAAUCCUCCUCUGAGUCUUUGGGAACACACUAACAGGUUCCUUUUGAGGCGUCUCUUCUCGACUCUUGCUAUACCACAGUUUGUAACCCUUAAUAUCAUCAGCAAACGAUGCAGCUGAUAUUUCGAUCAGAAUAAUAAUGACGGAGGAAGAUGUUACUUCUUCAAAGAAAAACCUGCAAGCUGCUGGCAGUGAGCCCUCUGGAAAAUAAGAAAGAAGUGAUUAUUAGGAUUUCCGUAUUGCGGAGUCUGCUGACAAUGCCCCGUGCCAAGUUGGCAGAAACACCGUUUAUCGAGCCAACCUCGGUCUCUAGCUUGGCUUUCGCAACUUUUAUGAAUUCGUGCAACUCUUUGAAUCUUGAAGUUCUGUCCAGUAAUCUAUAACUAAGGUCUAUUCUAUAGCAUAGCACAUCAACACGACGGGCAUCUUUAGCAAUACUCAGCUGCUUCUUCCAGGAUCUGCACGUAUGUAGACAAUUUGACGAUAACGCACCCUUUCUAUAUAGGAUUGCAAGAGAAACGAAAUGAAAAACAAAUACUUACUCUAGAAUGCCAGACACUUUACCACAAGAAGCGCAGCAAUAACUGCCAUCUAGCUGCAUGAGUUGCCCGAGAUCAACAACUCCAACCUUUUCAUGCUGGAAGGCACACUCAAUGUGACAAGAGAGCCCACAAGAAUCCUCAUCACUGGAUUCAGAUGUGCAGAACAACCACAGACUCGGGUCUUUAUUCUCGUCAAAGGAAUGACAGAUACAGCAAGAACAUCUCUUACAAAAUGAGUCCGCAGCAAGAACAUCUCUUGCAAAAUGAGUCCUCGAUGGAUAAGACAGCUCGGCAGGCAGAAUUUUUACAUAUCCACGAGUUUUCACUCCCAAAUUCCGGUGAUUCAUCAGAGGAAUGCACGAUCCGCGCAGGAUUAUCCCCCUUUCUUUUCUGCUUCUUUGAAGAAGACUGAUUAUUGGUGGCAGGAAUUUUCUUUGUUUCCUGCUUCUUGUUCGUUUUGUUACCCAACUGAAGUUCAGUCAUUUUGCCUUUGGAUGAUGCUGAUUGUUUAUUGUCCUUACCAAAGGAAGUACAGAGAAGGGCCUUUCUGGGACCAGAUUUCAGAAACUCUUGAAUUAGCUCUGAACUUCUUGAAGCCUCAUCGGAAUUAUUAUUUUUCUCUCGAGUGCUAUCACACUGGAAGAGAGGUUUUGAACACCAGAAACUGGAAUAAGACAAGGGGCUAAUUUAAGAAAUUGAAAUGCGCUCCAAAAUCUGUCAGAUUAAAAUGCAGAAAGUUCAUCUGCAACAAUUUUCUUUUGUAAGAUUCUCAGCCAUGCAAUAAAACGGAGAGAAUACGGAACCCAAAAACAACCAUUCAAAUAGAAAUCCAUGCAGACGAAGUAACCAAGACAUGACUAGGACAAAGUCAAAAACAUUUUGGUACUGCAGUCAGGAAAACACCUUCCAAUCAAAUUACAGAAGUUUGACAUAAAAGCAGAGAUCUGAAUGCCAGCUCCUAUUGGAAUCAUUCUUACAUCCGGCAGUUUUUGUAAACAACUUCGGUUUGAAAAGAUUUCCUUUUUUUAUCAGAUGCAGAUUCCGAACCAGGGAGCAUGUGAGCAAGAGAAAGUCAUCAGGAACACGGGCCAGGAAAGUGUUAUUCUUCACAAGAAACAAUCUUCAAUUUCAUCAACCUCAGCCUAUGAGCAACUUAGUAACCAUCGAUCGAUUACAAGCCAAACUCAAUUUUGAGAGGUCAGAGACAGACCAUACCUCUGCCGUGGAAUUUAUCAUCCAAGUCCAUUACUAUACAGAUCCGCCCAAUAGCUUUAGCUGCCCUACCUAUGACAAAGAUGCUAGAAAUGUCAGUAAAUUGACAUGGGAAUUCUUAUCCAGAAGCUCAAUCAAAAAUACGUUAACAUGCUACUCAAAUUUAUAGAAUCCAACCCAUUCGUGAGGGGAGACAAAGAAGGAUCGAGAUCAUCAGUUACCCACGUCUUCAAAGUAAGAGAUAAUUUUUAUGUAAGUUGAAUGCCGAAUGCAGAUACUGGUAAAGACAAAAAUGAACAAUGAAACGCACAAACUCCGUAGAGAAAGCAACAAAUUCUAAGAUUCAUACUUAAAAAAACAGUAGCCUAGCUGAACUGGGAACUUCCAGAGAAAGAACAAAAUAGAAGGCCUAGCGAACAAGAACAAAGAUUGGAGUAAACAAGCUCCAAUUGAGAUCAAGGGCAAAGAUAAUGAAGACAAUCAUCUAGAACCCUCGCACCAGUCCCCCUCUCGUCUCCAUUACUCCCAAAAAGAACCAUGUUUCCCUAUCUUCUUCAGAUUAUUUUUUACAAAAAAACCAAUAUAAUUUUAUAUUUUUAAACUCGACCUGCCAAAGCUAUGGAACAAAGUUCCACUACAUCUGAACUCUCGUACAUUGCGUAAAUUCAACGUGAAAAGCAAAUAAUUCACACACAAAAUUCAAAUAUACAAAUUGAAGCAGCUACGUAGAAGCAAAUACCGGAAAGGCAAAAGGAAAAAAGAAAAAUCCUCACGAAUUUCACAAAGCCAUGACGAUAGAAAGAAAAGCAGGCGCAAUAGUCCUGGAAACGUUAAUCGAGUCACAGCUGGUAACUGUAACGGAUCUGGGCACGUAAAAGCUUCCGGCAAAACGAGAAAAGAUAGAAAGUACAAGAGAAAGGAAGAAAAAACCAUGAGAGACGUACCAGCAGGAGCGAGUGGAUAAUAACAGAAGAAAAAUAAGCUCCUAGGGUUUGGAAUGGGACCAGCAAAAAGCCCAAGGACGAAGAAGAAGAAGUAGAAGAAGAAAUUUCUCUCUGUGAAAGAGGAGAAUCCAAAGAUGCAGAGAGGAGAGAGAGGAAUUAGCUUCCUGCUGCUAAUCUAUUGUUGCUCUGUUUGGCGAGAAAGAGAAAAUAAAAUAAAAAAGAAAUGCCGGUAACGAGAUGUGAGCGCGGAAGGGGAGGUGGUGGGGAAACUUUACGCGCGAGUGCCGGUGCGUAUAUUUGUUGGGCGAGUUGAAGUUACGUUGAGCACCGUCACGUGGUAUUAUUGGUACGUGAAAGUAACCCCAGGCUGCGCUAGCGCGUUAUUAUUUCUGCUUGUAUAUUUUUAUUUCAGGAUUUUCGGAAUCUUUUUACUUCCUGACUCUUUUCUUGCAAUUAAUUAUUUUCGCAGGGUGUUUUUUUAUACAAAAUAUUCAAAAUGUGAUAAGUUUAGGUAUAUAUCGAGAAAUGUUGCAACUUUUAUAUAGAUUUUUUGUCACCGAAUUUGAAGUUUCGGACGAACUAUGUCACGCUGUUAAUUUGUGCUUCACUCCGUCCACAAAAUUCGCCCUAGCCCGUACAUGUCAGAUUUGUACCGCUGAUGUGGCAUUCAAUUAUUUCUAAUUAAAACAGAUUUUAUUAACACAUUCUCCAUCUCCUCCAAACCAAAUUCCCUUUUCACCUUCUCGUCCCCCGCCUCUAUCGAAGGUAGACCGUUGUGACUGUGUGAUCGAAGAUAGCCUUGGAAUCUCGUGUACAUGUAGGCUUGAAUCUAUGGAAUGUGACAGGGUUUGGUUGAAAUCAUACCACCUCCACUAAUUUUUGCGAUCAUUGGAGUACACUAGCUUCUAAACAGUGAGAAGUGGGAAGAUCAUGACCGCGACAUUCUGAGCGGGAUGGUACAGACGAUUUGUGACAGCGGUGGGACUGCUAUACAGGCUUCCCGUAAAUUGGUUCAGUCGUAGUUCCAACCCGAAUCGGAGAAUGUGAAAGAGCCUAAAACGUCUGAGGCCCCAAAGGGUAGACCUCGUGCACGAAAGGCAGACGGCUGGAACCCUUCUUAGCACGAGCAUGCGAGUGCUCAUUGUACCCCGACCAAGGGCAAACCCAAGUCAGGUUCGCACGAUUUUAUACUACAUCACUGUCUUCAUCUUAUCGGUUGUGAUCACAAAAUAGCAUAACGUUACAGAUCAUUCAAACGCCUGUGAAGGGUACACCCACACCAAGCAUGUCGGGAGCCACUCCAGCAAGAUCCAUUCCAUGUAGAGGUGUGUAGCAGAUUCUUGAUCACGUCUAUGGAACUAUUGUACUAGAAUAAAAUCACCGUCCUAAUUAUUUAUUGCACCUCUAAAAUUUGAGUGCAACUCUUUAUCCAGUAUAUCCCCAUCGGACUCCGUGGACUGCUAAACAACGUGUUUGACGUUAUCGACGAUGGCCAUUGCGGGUUUAGAUGCGUGUCCCACUCAGUUCACGACUCGUGGAAAUGAGAUAGGAGCUUAUGGAUCAUGUUGUUUACUUGGCAAGUUGGUACCAUAUGGAGAAGAGUUGGAGACCAUUCUAGCAAGGUUAGGUUGGCUGAGCAAGGAACCAUGUGACGACCAAUGAUGGUUCUGGAACCUGGACCUGUUCGGAUUUGCCACUAUGCACAGUUGGACUUAUGUUGUGUUCGGCAUUGGGGGAUGGUCUCCCAUAUAAGGAGACAUUUCUUCUGUUGAGACUCCGGCGUGGGACACAGUCGUCAGAGAUGUGUGACGUACCUCGUGUGUACCAGUAAUCAUUGGGUGCGGUUAUAUUUGGAUGCUGACGACGUGGUGUUUUUAAUUUUGCAGCCGAACGCGUGGAAUUAUUGGGCCGAUGAAAGUGCAAAAGUGUGUGGGUGGGCAGUUUGUAUCAUGAUGAACGUGCAAAGUAUGAUAUGUUGGUUCCACCGCGUAAGUAGAUGACACUGUAAUCUCAUAUGUGUACUAAACGCUUGCAGUACGGUUUCCUAUUUGUUAAUCUAGCUCCAUUGACUCUUAAUUAUAUUUAAAUACCGUAACUCUUAAUUAUAUUUAAAUACCGUAACGUAAAAAAUGCAAACCAACAGGAAGGACGGGUCCAUUAGUCUUGUUCCGCCGGACGGAAAUCCCAUUCGUCCGGUUAGUUUUGACGGACGAAAAUUUCGUCUGUCUGGUUAGUUCUGUCCUAUUUUGGUUGUCGUACCUAGCUAUUCAUCCUUGUUAUAAUUAAUUACAUGUCAUUCAUACCUCGUUACAUAUAAGUCGUUAUACUCUGGUAUAGCGAUGUUAAACUCAUUAUAACUUGGUAUUCAUUAAAAACUUGUUACAACUUGUUAUAAGUAGGUAUUCAUUCAUGGUUUAACAGAAAACGUUUUUCAUGCAUAAUGUCAACCAUAACAGAAUCGCAUACUUAACAAAAUAGAGCAACAAAUAGAACAUAAUUGUAUGUCAUCUGCAACAGAGUCUCAUACAAAACAACAACAAAAUACAUGAACGUCUAAAACAUAACACUAACUGAGCAUAACGAACAUACCACUGUCUAGCGGUACGGUCCCUGCGCGUGGAAGUCCAUGUAGAGGUCCUCCAUGCUGGAACGCAGCUCCUCUAACUGUGUGAGUUACACACUGCCAGUCUCGAACUGGUGUGCAAGCAAACCGUUUAAGUAGGGGUGUAGAUGAUCUAACAUCCAGUAAGCCGACUGUACAAAGAAAAACAAAACUCAUUAAUCGUGUAUAAAGGUGCAAUAAUUAAUACAAUUCGAGAAUCACACUUACCAUAUAGGUCGACAAGCGAGCACCCCACUUACCAUAUCGAUCGACAAGCGAGCACCACUAAAAAUCGGGACUAAAAUGUGUGGGUGGUUGUGCCGUACCUACAACUCCAUAUAGCGCGGCUUGACAUCGACGUUGUCCUCCACACAUCGAAACAAAGUCUGAAGUGAGAUAAGUCGAACGUAUUUGGGGUCAGUCCAGGAAAAAUCCCGAGUUGGAUCCCACUCAACCACAUAUCCAUUAGCCUCAGCUAACCUAACAACCCUAAUGGGACGGACGAUAUGCGGAGGAAUCAUCUGCAUGUAGCCAAACUGUCUAACCACACUGGUGGGGUCGUAGUACUCGGGGGUAGUAGCGUAACAAAUCACCCCACGAAACACUGAAUCAGGAACCUCUAGCUCGGGCCAGUGACCGAAAGGCAGCCAAGUCACAUCAUGUGCGGUCAUAUCAUUGAGAAGAUGACGAUAACACUCUAACCUAUGGUUCUUGAACUUGUAUGGCCUCUCUAACUGCUCGCCACUACUCCACCUCCACCUAAAGCCUCACCCUCGCCCCGUUCCCGACACACUACUCUAGUAGAACGAGUACUAGAGAAAUGCUCGUGGAUCCAAGACUAAAGUAGUGUCGGACCGCCAACCAUCCCCUUGCACGAGGCAUGACUAGCCUUGUCGAGCUCGUGGUAUAACCAUGCUUGCGCGCCCUGGCCCCCAAGUGUACCGCAACAUCCCCCAUAAAGUACUCCCACAACACGAGACGAGUCUGAUCCACUUAAUUAUCUGUAAAUAAAGCAUAGAUCUCCCUUAAAAGAAAAUAGGCAUCUCAACUCAACAAGUGCAUUAUUCCAUAUACAAAAAAUGUUAGAUUGAGCCACAUAAAUGUUAUUACGGAGACGAGAUUCAACCCAAUCCGAACCUUUCGAGCUGUGGAGAUUGUAACUCAUGUUCACUUAUGUCAAUCUAAUCUCCAACUGCUUUGAUGAUGGACAUAGGGACACUUAGAAACUAAAAUCUAUCAUCGAUUCAAUUCCUCUUCUUUGAAUGGGAGAAAAGGUAACAAAUAGUGACGCAGACAGAUGACAACUGAGGGUUAUCCUUCACUAACUAAAACGCUAAGGUUCAAAUUCAAUGCCGACUAAUAAAUGUGGGAGAUUUAGACUACAUAGCGAAGGUUUGAGAUUAAACCACAAACCAUUGACUACGCAGUUAGCCUGUGCCAUUCAUCACAUUCCUUUACCAGGAGCUGCAAGAAAGGAAUUGCCUGUACCGAGAGACUAGGAUGACUUGGACUGCAAGGUAACAAAAGAAUUGCCCCUUCUUAAGUAAGGCGAGGUGGGUUGUUUUUCUUAAUGCCAUAACUUGCUGCAGAAUCCAUUCCUAGGCCUCUUGCUGGAUACGACAUCCGAGAACGAAUCAACCAACUGUUCGGCUAAGCUACCAUGGUCAUCAUUCAGAGUCC